RNAcentral lists this ribosomal RNA (213 nucleotides) under Triticum aestivum (bread wheat). RNAcentral describes it as "partial small subunit ribosomal RNA". Lineage: Eukaryota; Viridiplantae; Streptophyta; Magnoliopsida; Poales; Poaceae. The record is from RNAcentral.
AUGUCGGAUACGCUAGUGUCUAACAAUUUAGAUGAGCUAAUCAAAAUUGUGCAGCAAGAAUAUGAUGCCUAUGAUGCUGAUAAGAUAAACAAGAAUUUUCUUACAGUACAAAGCUGCUUAAUUGAGGUCAUGAAGAGAGGUGGAGGCAACGACUACAAGAUCCCUCACAUGUACAAAGAUGGCCUAGAACGUGCAGGAAAUCUUCCUUUUUAG